RNAcentral lists this ribosomal RNA (253 nucleotides) under uncultured bacterium. Its description in RNAcentral is "partial 16S ribosomal RNA". It matches the Rfam family "Bacterial small subunit ribosomal RNA", at positions 524 to 776 of the family's 1533-position model. The record is from RNAcentral.
CACGUAGGGCGCGAGCGUUGUCCGGAAUUAUUGGGCGUAAAGAGCUCGUAGGCGGCCUGUUGCGUCCGCUGUGAAAGCCCGGGGCUUAACCCCGGGUCUGCAGUGGAUACGGGCAGGCUAGAGGUAGGUAGGGGAGAAUGGAAUUCCCGGUGUAGCGGUGAAAUGCGCAGAUAUCGGGAGGAACACCGGUGGCGAAGGCGGCUCUCUGGGACGGUACUGACGCUGAGACGCGAAAGCGUGGGGAGCGAACAGG